Neurospora tetrasperma FGSC 2509 is the source of this 197-nucleotide small RNA. It matches the Rfam family "A. fumigatus sRNA Afu_182". The record is from Rfam. Lineage: Eukaryota; Fungi; Ascomycota; Sordariomycetes; Sordariales; Sordariaceae.
AUUUUUACAACGCAUUAUAUCACAUUCUCGGAAUGCAACUUGGAUGCGAGGUCCCCGGAUUCGUUCGGAGCUGACCCAGGACCAAUUCAUCGAUUUCGAACAGAAUGGAGAACAGACACCAGCGAACAAUCUUGGGUGCGGUGCUUUCCUUGCCCUUCGUGGCUCCAUGGAAAGGGUCGCAAUGAUUGGGCGUACAU